CAGCAGCCACGGUAAUACGAAGGGUGCAAGCGUUAAUCGGAAUUACUGGGCGUAAAGCGUGCAUAGGCGGUUUGUUAAGUCUGCUGUGAAAUCCCCGGGCUCAACCUGGGAAUGGCAGUGGAUACUGGCAAGCUAGAGUGUGUCAGAGGAUGGUGGAAUUCCCGGUGUAGCGGUGAAAUGCGUAGAGAUCGGGAGGAACAUCAGUGGCGAAGGCGGCCAUCUGGGACAACACUGACGCUGAGGCACGAAAGCGUGGGGAGCAAACAGGAUUAGAUACCCCCGUAGUCCCUGUCUCUUAUAA
This 301-nucleotide ribosomal RNA is filed under the name uncultured bacterium. RNAcentral describes it as "partial 16S ribosomal RNA". It matches the Rfam family "Bacterial small subunit ribosomal RNA", at positions 509 to 809 of the family's 1533-position model. The record is from RNAcentral.